GGCCGCUUGGCCCAAUGGUAAGGCGUCUGACUACGAUCGAGCAUGAGUAAAAACAUGCUUGACAAGUAAUCAGGAGAUUCUGGGUUCGAGCCCCAGGGUGGUCA
This 104-nucleotide transfer RNA is filed under the name Daldinia loculata. Its description in RNAcentral is "tRNA-Arg". It matches the Rfam family "tRNA". Rfam says of the family: Transfer RNA (tRNA) molecules are approximately 80 nucleotides in length. The record is from RNAcentral. Lineage: Eukaryota; Fungi; Ascomycota; Sordariomycetes; Xylariales; Hypoxylaceae.